This 922-nucleotide long non-coding RNA is filed under the name Medicago truncatula (barrel medic). RNAcentral's name for it is "lncRNA gene10394". The record is from RNAcentral. Lineage: Eukaryota; Viridiplantae; Streptophyta; Magnoliopsida; Fabales; Fabaceae.
UUAGAGUCAAGAAAGACAUCAGAGUUCAAAAAAGACUACCAACCAACAAGAUUCUCACAUUGAUAACAUAAUAUGAUUGAUGAAUUGGCACACUCUUGUAAGACAACGAUGCUGUUUUAUAUGAGAUCAUUUUGAGGUACCGUGCAUUUUAAUGAUCUUUGCUAUAUGUAGAGCCUUCCAUUAGAACAUUCAUGUUCUGCAUUAUCCCAUUGAUCUUUGCUAAAUGUAGAGCCAUUAAUGCUCAAAUGAUGUUGUUGAUAACAAUAACAAUAUGUUAUAAUCGUUGAGAUGAUGAUUGCAAUUAGUCCCAUGACAUGGGGAACUAGGUAGAUGCGACUGUGAACAUGUAUUUGUGCAUAACUGUGAGCAUUGACACAUUGUGACAUUUGCAUCAUGACAUAGAUGUUGAUAUGUUACAAACGAUGAGACAAUAGAAGUCAUGAAGGGUGAUUCCCCCAGUCUUGGAGCUAUGUGAUUUGUGUGGAGGUCUCAGAGGGCUAGGACUCACAGUCCAUACACGAGGUGUUCGUCGUGACCAAACCUAGUCAUUAAAAAUAACUAGGUGUGAAAACAUACUCAGGGACUCAAAGUUUGUGUUGUUAGAUGUUGUCUACGACUCAAAUAGUGCAUCAACAUCAGAUGGCUAGGACUUACAAGCCAUUAGAUGUUGAUGCAAUGGAACAAUUUCCUUUGGAUGUUUUAACUGACCCCUGGAUUUUAUAACCUAUGGUUUGUUUGGUUAUAAUGCAACAUGACCCUGAGGUAUUACUUUGAAAUAACGUUUAUUUCACAAUUAAUUCGAUGUAUGUCUAUUUUAUUGGUGGCAUUUAGGGUGGGUAGGAGGAAUUCUUUCCUACCAUGAGAAAGUUAAGCUUGACCAUUAGAUUAAGUAGUGACCACAUUCUUAUCAUAGACUCUCAAC